CACAGCUCAAAUUUGAAAUCUGGCCCUAGGCCCGAGUUGUAAUUUGCAGAGGAUGCUUUUGGCGCGGUGCCUUCCGAGUUCCCUGGAACGGGACGCCAUAGAGGGUGAGAGCCCCGUACGGUUGGACACCAAGCCUUUGUAAAGCUCCUUCGACGAGUCGAGUAGUUUGGGAAUGCUGCUCAAAAUGGGAGGUAUAUUUCUUCUAAAGCUAAAUAUUGGCCAGAGACCGAUAGCGCACAAGUAGAGUGAUCGAAAGAUGAAAAGCACUUUGAAAAGAGGGUUAAACAGCACGUGAAAUUGUUAAAAGGGAAGCGCUUGUGACCAGACUUGCGCCCGGUGAAUCACCCAGCUCUCGCGGCUGGGGCACUUUGCCGGCACAGGCCAGCAUCAGCUUGCCGUCGGGGACAAAAGCUUCAGGAACGUAGCUCUCUUCGGGGAGUGUUAUAGCCUGUUGCAUAAUACCCUUCGGCGGGCUGAGGUACGCGCUCCGCAAGGAUGCUGGCGUAAUGGUCAUCAGCGACCCGUC
RNAcentral lists this ribosomal RNA (526 nucleotides) under Colletotrichum dematium. RNAcentral's name for it is "partial 28S ribosomal RNA". It matches the Rfam family "Eukaryotic large subunit ribosomal RNA", at positions 103 to 653 of the family's 3401-position model. The record is from RNAcentral. Lineage: Eukaryota; Fungi; Ascomycota; Sordariomycetes; Glomerellales; Glomerellaceae.